This 76-nucleotide transfer RNA is filed under the name Chloroflexota bacterium. RNAcentral describes it as "tRNA-His". It matches the Rfam family "tRNA". From Rfam's summary of the family: Transfer RNA (tRNA) molecules are approximately 80 nucleotides in length. RNAcentral also lists the same sequence under 1 other name. Lineage: Bacteria; Bacillati; Chloroflexota. The record is from RNAcentral.
GUGGGCGUGGUCGAGGGGUUAAGACGCCAGGUUGUGGCCCUGGAGAUCGAGGGUUCAAUUCCCUCCGCUCACCCCA